CAACAACUUUUUGACAGUUAUGUCAAAUCCGGGCCGAUUUCUCUUUCCAGUCCAGCUCUGAAAAGGUGCACAUGGAUAUUGUUGAAGUUAAACAAGUACAAGCUUGCCCAGAGUUUUCUUAAGCCGUUUGGAGUGUGAUGCAGCACGUUUCCUUGGCAAUGAAGUGGAGGCUGAUGUUUGUGCAGCUUUCUGCAAUGCACUGAGUAUGAAGAUGUGAUUGUUGUAUGGUUCUAGGUUGAACAUGUUUGCCUCAAGUUCUUUGAAUGCAGAACCACUAUGAAGAUCCAGAACAUUUGUGGGGACAGAGAUGGGCCUUGUGAGUGUGUGCUGUUGAAGAAAUCUCUCAGCUGUCUUGCAGACUUUCAGGACGCUGUCUGACGGUCUUAUAAAUCCACCUCAGGACUUCAUGUCGAUUAGUGUGUUCAUCUUGGGAAGAGCUCUCGACACUGAGUGCUGAUAAACAGGCUGAACGUCACUGCCUGAAAUGCAUAUCAGAAGAUGCUGCCUCCAGUGUCACUGUGAUAUCCGGUGGAGAACUGUUGCCACUAGCUCUGAUGGCACGUCUUGCUACCAUUCUUUUGAAAGCUGAAUAAUGUGGGAUUGUUGUUAAAUCCAUUAGCAGAUUUGUUCCCACAUAUCUGCAAAUUGUUAUUGUAUUGUUCAGUUUAAGUCAAUUUUUUUUAUGUACUUGGAAGCUUUUGUUAUUGAACAAAUAAAUAUGUAUGAUUUCCUUGAGUGUGCAU
This is a long non-coding RNA of Xyrauchen texanus (razorback sucker), 743 nucleotides long. RefSeq lists it as uncharacterized. The transcript is spliced from 3 exons. The record is from RefSeq and is a predicted model, not a curated record. NCBI's taxonomy places the organism in Eukaryota, Metazoa, Chordata, Actinopteri, Cypriniformes, Catostomidae.